This 208-nucleotide ribosomal RNA is filed under the name Merluccius merluccius (European hake). RNAcentral's name for it is "partial 12S ribosomal RNA". The record is from RNAcentral. Lineage: Eukaryota; Metazoa; Chordata; Actinopteri; Gadiformes; Merlucciidae.
AAACUAGGAUUAGAUACCCUAUUAUGUAUGGCUGUUAACAUCGAGGGCCCGAUACUCAGACCCUCCGCCCGGGGACUACGAGCAUUAGCUUAAAACCCAAAGGACUUGGCGGUGCUUUACCCCCCACUAGAGGAGCCUGUUCUAGAACUGAUAACCCCCGUUGAACCUCACCAUCCCUCGUUUAACCCGCCUAUAUACCGCCGUCGUC